CCUACGGGUGGCAGCAGUGAGGAAUAUUGGUCAAUGGGCGCGAGCCUGAACCAGCCAAGUAGCGUGAAGGAUGACUGCCCUACGGUUUGUAAACUUCUUUUAUAGAGGAAUAAAGUGAGGCACGUGUGCCUAUUUGUAUGUACUUUAUGAAUAAGGAUCGGCUAACUCCGUGCCAGCAGCCGCAGUAAUACGGAGGAUCCGAGCGUUAUCCGGAUUUACUGGGUUUAAAGGGAGCGUAGAUGGGUUGUUAAGUCAGUUGUGAAAGUUUGCGGCUCAACCGUAAAAUUGCAAUUGAUACUGGCAGCCUUGAGUACAGUUGAGGUAGGCGGAAUUCGUGGUGUAGCGGUGAAAUGCGUAGAUAUCACGAAGAACUCCGAUUGCGAAGGCAGCUUACUAAACUGCAACUGACAUUGAUGCUCGAAAGUGUGGGUAUCAAACAGGAUUAGAUACCCCAGUAGUC
This 460-nucleotide ribosomal RNA is filed under the name uncultured bacterium. Its description in RNAcentral is "partial 16S ribosomal RNA". It matches the Rfam family "Bacterial small subunit ribosomal RNA", at positions 338 to 795 of the family's 1533-position model. The record is from RNAcentral.